UUAAAAAGCUCGUAGUUGGAUUUCUGUCCGAGGCAGCCGGUCCGCACCUGGUGCGUGUAUCAGGUUUGACUAGGGCAUCCCCUUGGGGAACGUUUCUGUGCUUCAUUGCAUGGGACGGAAUUCAAGACUUUUACUUUGAGGAAAUUAGAGUGUUCACGGCAAGCUAUCGCUUUGAAUACAUUAGCAUGGAAUAAUAAUAUAGGGCGUAAGUCUUAUUUUGUUGGUUUCUAGGACAUACGCAAUGAUUAAUAGGGACAAUUGGGGGCAUUCGUAUUAACGCGUCAGAGGUGGAAUUCUUAGAUUGCGUUACGACGAACUACUGCGAAAGCAUUUGCCAAGGAUGUUCUCAUUGAUCAAGAACGAAAGUAU
RNAcentral lists this ribosomal RNA (369 nucleotides) under uncultured marine eukaryote. RNAcentral's name for it is "SSU rRNA". It matches the Rfam family "Eukaryotic small subunit ribosomal RNA", at positions 619 to 992 of the family's 1831-position model. The record is from RNAcentral.